CUAUUUGUAUUUGUUAUAUUAUUUCUUUCAUUAAUAUUACAUGACUGGUUUAGAUACAUGAAUUAAUAUUA
This is a non-coding RNA of Biomphalaria pfeifferi, 71 nucleotides long. NCBI's taxonomy places the organism in Eukaryota, Metazoa, Mollusca, Gastropoda, Planorbidae. The record is from the annotation of a GenBank genome assembly.